This is a long non-coding RNA of Dromiciops gliroides (monito del monte), 979 nucleotides long. RefSeq lists it as uncharacterized. The transcript is spliced from 7 exons. The record is from RefSeq and is a predicted model, not a curated record. Lineage: Eukaryota; Metazoa; Chordata; Mammalia; Microbiotheria; Microbiotheriidae.
CCCCGCCUCCCCUGUUUUCUGCCCGAGAACCAAAAUCUUCCAGUCUUCCUAGAGAGAGGAGAGAAGAGACCUGGAGAGCGGGAGGAACGUGGAGCGAGGUGAGGGUUGCAGCAAGCAUCGAGGAAUCUGCAGGAAGCUCAAGACAGAGGUCAGAGAGAUUGCUCCGUGCUGGGUAAUGGGGGUUAAGUGACUUGCCCAGAGUCAUACAACUAGUAAGUCUCAAGUGUCUGAAGCCGGAUUUGAACUCAGAUGGUAAAGCCAAAUUUGAGUAAGAGAAGUUGAUAACUAUAAAGCAAGAAAUUUCUGAAGAAUCACCAGCAGCAUACUUACAAAGUGUCCAGAGCAAUGUUUCUGAUCAACCUGAGGUUACAGCAUCUUGUAAACAGAAGGCUGGGUGGAAGAGACAGUGGGGAAACCCCACACUGGAAAGAAUGAAGGUAGAGGAAGGAGAUUUUGAAUACAAGGUUGACAUAUUUGGAGGUUUCACUGAGAUUUGAAGACCCCUGCUAAGUUGAACCCCGUUUUUUGCUUCGCACACUUGGCACCAGCAGGAAUCCUUUGUGUUCCAGCCUGGACUCAAACUCGGAGGUUCUGCCUGGAAGAUCUCCAAGAAACAGAUAAAAAUCCCAGAUUAUUCCUGGUACACUGAUGGUUCCUGCCUCCGAAAUGAUUCUGGUGAAUUAACUAGUGGAUAUGCUAGCACCACUACUGAAGAGAUCAUUGAAUCGGGACCCCUUCCUUUGGCUUCUUCAGCACAAUAAGCCAAACUUGAAGCUUUCGAAUGAACAAGAGGAAAAUGAGUGAACAUUUACAUGGCUAGCAGUUAUUUUCUAGAGACUCAAUCUUAAAUCAGCCUACCCUGCAGUUGGAACCUGCAGACUGGGUCUAUUGGAAAAGGCACCUAUGCAAGGAUUCCCUUCAGCCCAGGUGGAAAGGUCUCUACCAAGUCUGGCUCACCACCCCCUCUGCUUCAAAACUG